AGAGUUUGAUCCUGGCUCAGGACGAACGCUGGCGGCGUGCCUAAUACAUGCAAGUAGAACGCUGAAGAGAGGAGCUUGCUCUUCUUGGAUGAGUUGCGAACGGGUGAGUAACGCGUAGGUAACCUGCCUGGUAGCGGGGGAUAACUAUUGGAAACGAUAGCUAAUACCGCAUGAAAUUGCUUAUCGCAUGAUAAUUAAUUGAAAGAUGCAAUUGCAUCACUACCAGAUGGACCUGCGUUGUAUUAGCUAGUUGGUGAGGUAACGGCUCACCAAGGCGACGAUACAUAGCCGACCUGAGAGGGUGAUCGGCCACACUGGGACUGAGACACGGCCCAGACUCCUACGGGAGGCAGCAGUAGGGAAUCUUCGGCAAUGGGGGGAACCCUGACCGAGCAACGCCGCGUGAGUGAAGAAGGUUUUCGGAUCGUAAAGCUCUGUUGUAAGAGAAGAACGGGUGUGAGAGUGGAAAGUUCACACUGUGACGGUAUCUUACCAGAAAGGGACGGCUAACUACGUGCCAGCAGCCGCGGUAAUACGUAGGUCCCGAGCGUUGUCCGGAUUUAUUGGGCGUAAAGCGAGCGCAGGCGGUUAGAUAAGUCUGAAGUUAAAGGCUGUGGCUUAACCAUAGUAUGCUUUGGAAACUGUUUAACUUGAGUGCAGAAGGGGAGAGUGGAAUUCCAUGUGUAGCGGUGAAAUGCGUAGAUAUAUGGAGGAACACCGGUGGCGAAAGCGGCUCUCUGGUCUGUAACUGACGCUGAGGCUCGAAAGCGUGGGGAGCAAACAGGAUUAGAUACCCUGGUAGUCCACGCCGUAAACGAUGAGUGCUAGGUGUUAGGCCCUUUCCGGGGCUUAGUGCCGCAGCUAACGCAUUAAGCACUCCGCCUGGGGAGUACGACCGCAAGGUUGAAACUCAAAGGAAUUGAC
RNAcentral lists this ribosomal RNA (924 nucleotides) under uncultured bacterium. RNAcentral's name for it is "bacterial SSU rRNA". It matches the Rfam family "Bacterial small subunit ribosomal RNA", at positions 8 to 914 of the family's 1533-position model. The record is from RNAcentral.